This 452-nucleotide long non-coding RNA is filed under the name Equus caballus (horse). RNAcentral's name for it is "lncRNA (ENSECAG00000056569.1)". Lineage: Eukaryota; Metazoa; Chordata; Mammalia; Perissodactyla; Equidae. The record is from RNAcentral.
UGAAGAAAAGUUCUGGAAUUGGAUAGUAGUGAUGACUGUACUACAAGGUGAAGGUGCUUAAUAUCCCUGACUGUACACUUAAAAAUUGUUAAAAUGCACAGGGAGAUCUCCAGGCUCUCUUUGGAUUUCCCUCCCUGUGUUGACCCUGGAAACUUUCUCCAAGCAGAGAAGAAAAAGAGCAUGGACGCUCAUUCAUGGGGCAUUUACAUGACUCAGGUCAAGCAAUGGCGUGUGUCACUCCUGCUCAUAGUCUGUCCUGUGAGCACACCUGGACGGUGCAGGAGGCUGGAGCAGGACAUCCAAGUCUGUGUCCAGAAUGAAGAGACCACUGACUUGGUGAGAAGCCAGCCAGUCUAUGCUAAAGGGAAACUGAGGCCAUAAAAAAACAGUAAAUGUACAAAAUAGUUUGAGUUUAAUGAUGACUUCCAUGAAGAAAAUAAACAAUGUCUGUG